AGUAACGCGUGGGAAUCUACCCAUCUCUACUGAACAACUCCGGGAAACUGGAGCUCAUACCGUAUACGUCCUUCGGGAGAAAGAUUUAUCGUAGAUGGAUGAGCCCGCGUUGGAUUAUCUAGUUGGUGGGGUAAUGGCCUACCAAGGCGACAAUCCAUAUCUGGUCUGAGAGGAUGAUCAGCCACACUGGGACUGAGACACGGCCCACACUCCUACGGGAGGCAGCAGUGGGGAAUAUUGGACAAUGGGCGCAAGCCUGAUCCAGCCAUGCCGCGUGAGUGAUGAAGGCCCUAUGGUUGUAAAGCUCUUUCUACGGUGAAGAUAAUGACAGUAACCGUAGAAGAAGCCCCGGCUAACUUCGUGCCAGCAGCCGCGGUAAUACGAAGGGGGCUAGCGUUGUUCGGAAUUACUGGG
RNAcentral lists this ribosomal RNA (414 nucleotides) under Mesorhizobium sp. RFLP-25. RNAcentral's name for it is "bacterial SSU rRNA". It matches the Rfam family "Bacterial small subunit ribosomal RNA", at positions 109 to 558 of the family's 1533-position model. Lineage: Bacteria; Pseudomonadati; Pseudomonadota; Alphaproteobacteria; Hyphomicrobiales; Phyllobacteriaceae. The record is from RNAcentral.